CAGUCGCCGCGGUAAAACGUAGGGUGCAAGCGUUAAUCGGAAUUACUGGGCGUAAAGCGUGCGCAGGCGGUUAUAUAAGACAGAUGUGAAAUCCCCGGGCUCAACCUGGGAACUGCAUUUGUGACUGUAUAGCUAGAGUACGGCAGAGGGGGAUGGAAUUCCGCGUGUAGCAGUGAAAUGCGUAGAUAUGCGGAGGAACACCGAUGGCGAAGGCAAUCCCCUGGGCCUGUACUGACGCUCAUGCACGAAAGCGUGGGGAGCAAACAGGAUUAGAUACCCCCGUAGUCCCUGUCUCUUAUAU
Molecule: ribosomal RNA, 301 nt
Filed under: uncultured bacterium
Lineage: Bacteria
Description: partial 16S ribosomal RNA
Rfam family: Bacterial small subunit ribosomal RNA
Source: RNAcentral